This 323-nucleotide ribosomal RNA is filed under the name uncultured eukaryote. Its description in RNAcentral is "partial 18S ribosomal RNA". It matches the Rfam family "Eukaryotic small subunit ribosomal RNA", at positions 1470 to 1796 of the family's 1831-position model. The record is from RNAcentral.
CCCUUAGAUGUUCUGGGCCGCACGCGUGCUACACUGAGUGGAUCAGCGGGUCAGGUUGCGCGAAAGCGUUUCCUAAUCUUUAAAUCCGCUCGUGAUGGGGAUUGACGGUUGCAAUUUUCUGUCAUGAACGAGGAAUACCUUGUAAGCGCGGGUCAUCAUCCCGCGCUGAUUACGUCCCUGCCCUUUGUACACACCGCCCGUCGCACCUACCGAUUGAAUGACUCGGUGAAAAAUUGGGACCGUGAGUCUGUUUGCUUCAUUGCGAGUGGAUUGAUGGGAACUUUUUUAAACCUCGCCAUUUAGAGGAAGGUGAAGUCGUAACA